GGCGCACGGGUGCGUAACACGUAUGCAACCUACCUUGUACAGGGGAAUAGCCCAGGGAAACUUGGAUUAAUGCCCCAUAGUCCCCUAGUUCGGCAUCGGACAAGGGGUAAAGUUCAGGCGGUACAAGAUGGGCAUGCGUCCCAUUAGCUAGUUGGGGCGGUAACGGCGCCCCAAGGCUACGAUGGGUAGGGGCCCUGAGAGGGGUGACCCCCACACUGGUACUGAGACACGGACCAGACUCCUACGGGAGGCAGCAGUGAGGAAUAUUGGACAAUGGGCGGGAGCCUGAUCCAGCCAUGCCGCGUGCAGGAAGACGGCCCUAUGGGUUGUAAACUGCUUUUGUUGGGGAAGAAUAAGGGGCACGCGUGCCCUGAUGACGGUACCCGACGAAUAAGGAUCGGCUAACUCCGUGCCAGCAGCCGCGGUAAUACGGAGGAUCCGAGCGUUAUCCGGAAUCAUUGGGUUUAAAGGGUCCGUAGGCGGGCGCAUAAGUCAGGGGUGAAAGUUUGCCGCUCAACGGUAAAAUUGCCUUUGAUACUGUGUGCCUUGAAUAGCGGUGAAGUGGUUAGAAUGUGCAGUGUAGCGGUGAAAUGCUUAGAUAUUGCACAGAAUACCGAUUGCGAAGGCAGGCCACUAACCGCGUAUUGACGCUGAGGGACGAAAGCGUGGGGAGCGAACAGGAUUAGAUACCCUGGUAGUCCACGCUGUAAACGAUGGAUACUAGCUGUUUGUUCCGCAUUGGCGGGGUGAGUGGCUAAGCGAAAGUGAUAAGUAUCCCACCUGG
RNAcentral lists this ribosomal RNA (784 nucleotides) under uncultured bacterium. RNAcentral describes it as "bacterial SSU rRNA". It matches the Rfam family "Bacterial small subunit ribosomal RNA", at positions 97 to 876 of the family's 1533-position model. The record is from RNAcentral.